RNAcentral lists this long non-coding RNA (3446 nucleotides) under Brassica napus (rape). RNAcentral's name for it is "long non-coding RNA (BNAP_LNC005413)". The record is from RNAcentral. Lineage: Eukaryota; Viridiplantae; Streptophyta; Magnoliopsida; Brassicales; Brassicaceae.
UCUUUUUAUCUUGCAGGGAAGCUGAAACUGAACAUUCGAUAAACAGGUUUAUGGAUAACAAAGAUGACGUUGCUAAGCUGAGGAAAUGCUUUGCUGGACUUUGGAGCUUGGACGAUCCAGAAAUCAUCAAGAAAGCAAUUGAGAAACCUGAGUUGUUUGUUAUGAAGCCUCAGAGAGAAGGAGGAGGUUAGAACCCUGUUGAAGUCCCCUAGAGUCUUCCUACUGUACUUCCCCCUCAUAUUCUAAGCUUAUGUUCUUGGAUUCUUUCAGGUAACAACAUCUAUGGAGAUGAUGUGAGGGAAAAUCUUCUGAGGUUGCAGAAAGAAGGAGAGGAAGAGAACGCUGCGUAUAUCCUAAUGCAGAGGAUAUUCCCAAAAGUGUCAAAUGUUUUCUUGGUGCGAGAAGGCGUUUACCACAGAGAUCAAGCUAUAUCAGAACUUGGAAUCUAUGGUGCUUACCUCAGGUACUGUGAGUAGAAAGAAGAGUUUGGUAUAAGCUUGAAAUUGAGUCUCUACUUAAUAUGUUGUGGCAUAAAUUUUUGAGCUAACGUGUAGGAACAAGGAGAGAGUUAUAAUAAACGAGCAGAGCGGUUAUCUGAUGCGCACAAAGGUCUCGUCAUCAGAUGAAGGUGGUGUUGCGGCUGGUUUUGCCGUCUUGGACAGCAUUUAUUUGAAUUGAGAUUGGAUCCACAUUCACAGUCAAAUUGAUUCAUGUUUCUGUUGGUUUAUUCCCUUCUCUCUUUUUCUCUUAAAGAUCUUUGUACUUCUAAUUAAUAAAGGUUAAUAAGACAUGACUAGGCAAAGCUCUUUACAUUUAUUUGCAGAAAACAUAUAUGCUUCUAAAAAUCUUUUUUUUUUGGGAUUUGGGAGAUGCAUGGCUGGUUCUGGAUAUAGCCAAGUGGAAUAUUGAUGUAAGACAUGGUUUAAACACAAAAUUUCAUUAAUGUUUAUAGCCUCGGGGUUUACACUAACAAGGCAUUUGAUGAAAUAAAUUUAAAACAAUGUAUGUAGUUGGAGAUUAUAAUAGGGUAAUUGUCAAUAAUAGCACCUUUUGAAGUUUAUGUCUCAAAAAUAGCACUAGAAGGAGAAAGUCACAAAAAUGACAUUCAUUAAAAGGUAAAAUAUCCUUAAUACCCUUGGUUUAAAAUUAAAUAAACAAACAAAAAUAAAUAAAAAUAAAUAAAAUAAAAAUAAAAAAAAGUAGAAUAAUAUUAUUCCUUGGAAAAGUCGUCGUAGUGAUCUUUGGCAGACGAACAUGUUUUAAACGUGAUGUGAUCCUCCAAAAGGCUUGCAAAUGGGCAGUGGCUGCUAUUCUCUCUUUUAACUCUUCUUCUUAUUCUUCUUCCACUUUCAUUGGUCCCUUUGAGGCGUGUGGGAGAUCUCUUGCGAUGGAAUCACACAAACCCAUGUUCCAAGUCGAAAACUUUGACGACGAGUUUGUCCAGAAACUGGUCUAUGAUGCUCUCGUUUGGUGUUCCCUUCACGGGCUCGUCGUUGGUGACAAAACUUAUCAGGUUAGUUGCUGUCCCCACUCUCAAGUUCCCGCCUUUUGAUGUUCUAAUCACACAAAGUUGAGAGGAAAGAUUCAAACUUUGAUCAUCUGUAUUGAGUCUUGUGUAGCUAAUUUGAAUUAUCCAUCUGAAUCAAGCUUAGAUAUCACUUGUUAUGGAUGAUAUAAACAAGAAUGUGUUUGAUGAGAAAGUUUUGAUUUAUAGAAAUCAGGAACAGUUCCAGGGGUUGGUAUGACGCACGCCCCGAUUUCAUUGCUGCCAACUCAGUUCCCAGAAAGUUACUGGAAGCAAGCUUGUGAAGUUGCUCCUAUCUUCAAUGAACUGGUUGAUCGUGUCAGCUUGGAUGCCCAAUUCAUACAGGACAGUCUCUCCAGGUUUGAGUUAUCUAAACUCUCUCUUCUCUCUCUCUCUAUCUGAAAGUAGCUGUCUUUGAUUGAUUCUCUAUAUGUUGCAGAACGAAGAAAGCCGACAUCUUUACAUCUAGACUUCUUGACAUUCACUCCAAGAUGCUAGAAAGCAACAAGAAAGAGGUCUGGUUUCAUGUUAAUCUUGAUUCCUUGGUAAGAAUGUUCUGGAUUAUAUUCAUUUGGAUGUGGUUGUGUUUGCAGGACAUUCGUUUGGGUUUACACCGGUCAGAUUAUAUGCUAGACGAAGAAACAAAAUCGCUUCUUCAGAUAGAGAUGAAUACUAUUUCCUGUUCCUUUCCAGGCUUUGGUCGUCUUGUUACCGAGCUACACCAGUACGUUUAUCUCCCAUACUACACCAUCUUCUGAUUUAGCUAAAAGGUUUACAUUUUUUUAAAUUUCUUUUCUUUCUCUUGUUUGCAGGUCAUUGCUUAGAUCUCAUGGGGAUCAUCUUGGCCUAGACUCUGAACGUGUACCCAAAAACACAUCCAAUAGCCAGUUUGCUGACGCAAUGGCUAAAGCUUGGUUGGAGUACAACAACCCAAGGUUAGACUUAGCCAAAGAACUUAUUUCCAAAGGUUUCAUGUUUAAAGAUAGAAUCUUUCUUUGUUUCAGAGCGGUAGUCAUGAUAGUUGUGCAGCCGGAUGAACGCAACAUGUACGAUCAGCAUUGGCUAAGCAGCGUACUGAGAGAAAAAUAUCCUCUUUUAUAUCUUGUUUCUCCGCUUUUCCGAGGCUCUAUCUCGAAUUUUUAUACUAUAUAAGGUGUUUUUUGCUCUUCUUUAACUUCAAAACACGCACAGUAUUGUAACCAUUAGGAAGAGUUUAGCAGAAGUCGAAACAGAAGGGAGUGUACAAGAGGAUGGAACCCUUAUUGUGUAAGUAGUUGUUUUUUUUUAAAACCAUUUAUUGUUGAAAACUAUGUGAAAGAGCUUUUGUUGUUGUUGCAGUGAUGGCCAAGAAGUCUCGGUGGUUUAUUACAGAUCAGGCUAUACUCCCAGAGAUUAUCCGUCUGAAUCAGUAAGUAAAGUAUCUUCUUUCCCAUUUUGUGGCUUGACCAUUUUAAGAAUAUUCUGAAUCAGUGUUGUGAUUUUUGAAGGAAUGGAAUGCUAGGCUGCUUAUAGAGCAGUCCUCAGCAGUUAAAUGCCCCUCUAUAGCUUAUCACUUAGCUGGCACCAAGAAAAUCCAGCAAGAACUUGCAAAACCAGGUGUUCUCGAGAGGUAAAACAGAUCAUCAUCUUUUUAUCUUGCAGGGAAGCUGAAACUGAACAUUCGAUAAACAGGUUUAUGGAUAACAAAGAUGACGUUGCUAAGCUGAGGAAAUGCUUUGCUGGACUUUGGAGCUUGGACGAUCCAGAAAUCAUCAAGAAAGCAAUUGAGAAACCUGAGUUGUUUGUUAUGAAGCCUCAGAGAGAAGGAGGAGGUUAGAACCCUGUUGAAGUCCCCUAGAGUCUUCCUACUGUACUUCCCCCUCAUAUUCUAAGCUUAUGUUCUUGGAUUCUUUCAGGUAACAACAUCUAUGGAGAUGAUGUG